This 269-nucleotide ribosomal RNA is filed under the name uncultured bacterium. RNAcentral's name for it is "partial 16S ribosomal RNA". It matches the Rfam family "Bacterial small subunit ribosomal RNA", at positions 793 to 1055 of the family's 1533-position model. The record is from RNAcentral.
AUCCUAGCUGUAAACGAUGCUGACUAGGUGUGGGAGGUAUCGACCCCUCCCGUGCCGCCGCUAACGCAUUAAGUCAGCCGCCUGGGGGAGUACGGCCGCAAGGUUAAAACUCAAAGGAAUUGACGGGGGCCCCGCACAAGCGGUGGAGCAUGUGGUUUAAUUCGACGCUACGCGAAGAACCUUACCUGGGCUCGAACGACUGGUAGUAGUCCCGAUGAAAGUUGGGGCGACCCGCAAGGGAGCCAGCCGAGGUGCUGCAUGGCUGUCGU